GGCCCCGUCGUCCAGUGGCCUAGGACGCUGCCCUCUCAAGGCGGAAACGCCGGUUCGAAUCCGGUCGGGGCUG
Molecule: transfer RNA, 73 nt
Filed under: Acidimicrobiaceae bacterium
Lineage: Bacteria; Bacillati; Actinomycetota; Acidimicrobiia; Acidimicrobiales; Acidimicrobiaceae
Also listed under: 2 other names
Description: tRNA-Glu
Rfam family: tRNA
About the family: Transfer RNA (tRNA) molecules are approximately 80 nucleotides in length. Their secondary structure includes four short double-helical elements and three loops (D, anti-codon, and T loops).
Source: RNAcentral